Molecule: ribosomal RNA, 322 nt
Filed under: uncultured eukaryote
Lineage: Eukaryota
Description: partial 18S ribosomal RNA
Rfam family: Eukaryotic small subunit ribosomal RNA
Source: RNAcentral
CCCUUAGAUGUUCUGGGCCGCACGCGCGCUACACUGAUGCGUUCAACAAGUUUCCUUGGCCGAGAGGCCUGGGCAAUCUUCUUAAUAUGUAUCGUGAUAGGGAUGGAUUAUUGCAAUUAUUAAUCUUGAACGAGGAAUUCCUAGUAAACGCAGAUCAUCAAUCUGCAUUGAUUACGUCCCUGCCCUUUGUACACACCGCCCGUCGCACCUACCGAUUGGAUGUUCUGGUGAAGCCUCGGGAUGAGGACUGGUGCCUUUAUUGGCAUGAGUUGUUCAGAACUUGUCUAAACCUUAUCAUCUAGAGGAAGGUGAAGUCGUAACA